RNAcentral lists this ribosomal RNA (844 nucleotides) under Burkholderia sp. KSA37. Its description in RNAcentral is "bacterial SSU rRNA". It matches the Rfam family "Bacterial small subunit ribosomal RNA", at positions 57 to 896 of the family's 1533-position model. The record is from RNAcentral. Lineage: Bacteria; Pseudomonadati; Pseudomonadota; Betaproteobacteria; Burkholderiales; Burkholderiaceae. RNAcentral also lists the same sequence under 1 other name.
GCAGUCGAACGGCAGCACGGGUGCUUGCACCUGGUGGCGAGUGGCGAACGGGUGAGUAAUACAUCGGAACGUGUCCUGUAGUGGGGGAUAGCCCGGCGAAAGCCGGAUUAAUACCGCAUACGAUCUACGGAUGAAAGCGGGGGAUCUUCGGACCUCGCGCUAUAGGGGCGGCCGAUGGCGGAUUAGCUAGUUGGUGAGGUAAAGGCUCACCAAGGCGACGAUCCGUAGCUGGUCUGAGAGGACGACCAGCCACACUGGGACUGAGACACGGCCCAGACUCCUACGGGAGGCAGCAGUGGGGAAUUUUGGACAAUGGGCGAAAGCCUGAUCCAGCAAUGCCGCGUGUGUGAAGAAGGCCUUCGGGUUGUAAAGCACUUUUGUCCGGAAAGAAAUCCCUGGUCCUAAUAUGGCCGGGGGAUGACGGUACCGGAAGAAUAAGCACCGGCUAACUACGUGCCAGCAGCCGCGGUAAUACGUAGGGUGCAAGCGUUAAUCGGAAUUACUGGGCGUAAAGCGUGCGCAGGCGGUGAUGUAAGACCGAUGUGAAAUCCCCGGGCUCAACCUGGGAACUGCAUUGGUGACUGCAUCGCUUGAGUAUGGCAGAGGGGGGUAGAAUUCCACGUGUAGCAGUGAAAUGCGUAGAGAUGUGGAGGAAUACCGAUGGCGAAGGCAGCCCCCUGGGUCAAUACUGACGCUCAUGCACGAAAGCGUGGGGAGCAAACAGGAUUAGAUACCCUGGUAGUCCACGCCCUAAACGAUGUCAACUGGUUGUCGGGUCUUCAUUGACUUGGUAACGUAGCUUACGCGUGAAGUUGACCGCCUGGGGAGUACGGUCGCAAGAUUA